RNAcentral lists this transfer RNA (90 nucleotides) under bacterium. Its description in RNAcentral is "tRNA-Ser". It matches the Rfam family "tRNA". Rfam says of the family: Transfer RNA (tRNA) molecules are approximately 80 nucleotides in length. Their secondary structure includes four short double-helical elements and three loops (D, anti-codon, and T loops). The record is from RNAcentral.
GGAAAGGUGCCGGAGUGGCUGAACGGGACUCCCUGCUAAGUAGUUGUACUCGUAAGGGUACCAAGGGUUCGAAUCCCUUUCUUUCCGCCA